Molecule: ribosomal RNA, 468 nt
Filed under: uncultured bacterium
Lineage: Bacteria
Description: partial 16S ribosomal RNA
Rfam family: Bacterial small subunit ribosomal RNA
Source: RNAcentral
GACGAACGCUGGCGGCGUGCUUAACACAUGCAAGUCGAACGGAAAGGCCCUGCUUUUGUGGGGUGCUCGAGUGGCGAACGGGUGAGUAACACGUGAGUAACCUGCCCUUGACUUUGGGAUAACUUCAGGAAACUGGGGCUAAUACCGGAUAGGAGCUCCUGCUGCAUGGUGGGGGUUGGAAAGUUUCGGCGGUUGGGGAUGGACUCGCGGCUUAUCAGCUUGUUGGUGGGGUAGUGGCUUACCAAGGCUUUGACGGGUAGCCGGCCUGAGAGGGUGACCGGCCACAUUGGGACUGAGGUACGGCGCAGACGCCUACGGGAGGCAGCAGUGGGGAAUAUUGCACAAUGGGCGGAAGCCUGAUGCAGCAACGCCGCGUGCGUGAUGACGGCCUUCGGGUUGUAAACCGCUUUCGCCUGUGACGAAGCGUGAGUGACGGUAAUGUGUAAAGAAGCACCGGCUAACUACGUG